CAUGUAUGAGUUAUUUCCUUUCGUAAGAAUAUUCAACCGCCGUUCUCUGUUACAACCAGUCAUGCGGUACCCAUACCUUCUUGUGCUGUCCACAACUUUGGUUGCAGCCAGUCUGUAUGUCGGAGUUGCAGAUGCGGCUACUGCACAAACGCCUCUGAACGGUGUCCCGUGUUCACAUGACCCCAGCAUUCACCCUGACGUCACCACGGGGUGCUUCACGGGGUGCUGGUGUGACGACGAGUACUUAUUUUGAGUAUACCC
Long non-coding RNA from Branchiostoma floridae (Florida lancelet), 261 nucleotides. RefSeq lists it as uncharacterized. NCBI's taxonomy places the organism in Eukaryota, Metazoa, Chordata, Leptocardii, Amphioxiformes, Branchiostomatidae. The record is from RefSeq and is a predicted model, not a curated record. The transcript is spliced from 3 exons.